CGGGACACGUGGUAUCCUGUCUGAAUAUGGGGGGACCAUCCUCCAAGGCUAAAUACUCCUGACUGACCGAUAGUGAACCAGUACCGUGAGGGAAAGGCGAAAAGAACCCCGGCGAGGGGAGUGAAAAAGAACCUGAAACCGUGUACGUACAAGCAGUGGGAGCCUCUUUUAUGGGGUGACUGCGUACCUUUUGUAUAAUGGGUCAGCGACUUAUAUUCUGUAGCAAGGUUAACCGAAUAGGGGAGCCGAAGGGAAACCGAGUCUUAACUGGGCGUUAAGUUGCAGGGUAUAGACCCGAAACCCGGUGAUCUAGCCAUGGGCAGGUUGAAGGUUGGGUAACACUAACUGGAGGACCGAACCGACUAAUGUUGAAAAAUUAGCGGAUGACUUGUGGCUGGGGGUGAAAGGCCAAUCAAAC
Molecule: ribosomal RNA, 418 nt
Filed under: Escherichia coli
Lineage: Bacteria; Pseudomonadati; Pseudomonadota; Gammaproteobacteria; Enterobacterales; Enterobacteriaceae
Description: partial 23S ribosomal RNA
Rfam family: Bacterial large subunit ribosomal RNA
Source: RNAcentral